UACGAAGGGGGCUAUCGUUGCUCGGAAUUACUGGGCGUAAAGGGAGCGUAGGCGGACAUUUAAGUCAGAGGUGAAAUCCCGGAGCUUAACUUCGGAACUGCCUUUGAUACUGGGUGUCUUGAGUGUGAGAGAGGUAUGUGGAACUCCGAGUGUAGAGGUGAAAUUCGUAGAUAUUCGGAAGAACACCAGUGGCGAAGGCGACAUACUGGCUCAUUACUGACGCUGAGGCUCGAAAGCGUGGGGAGCAAACAGG
RNAcentral lists this ribosomal RNA (253 nucleotides) under uncultured bacterium. RNAcentral's name for it is "partial 16S ribosomal RNA". It matches the Rfam family "Bacterial small subunit ribosomal RNA", at positions 524 to 776 of the family's 1533-position model. The record is from RNAcentral.